AAAAAAAAAAAAAACAGGACAUAGAGGUUAGGGGGAGGUGAUCAGAGGACUGAGCCAAGAGGCUUUACACAUCCCGACUGGUACAGGCAGAAGACAGCUGCAUGCAAGGCAGGCCCCGGUGCUGCUGCCAUGGGGAGGUCCCAUAUCCCUUUUACAGGAAGAGGCAGCCCUCAGGGAGGACAGAGCAGCAGCAUGAAGGGGUUACGAAGUUUGAAGCCUCGUUAACUGUGUGUCCUGCCAUGCAGAGCUGCCUCCAGCUUCAUGCCCAGCAGUAGCAGUCCCCUCACACAGCCGUGCAUCCCAGCUGCCCCCGUUGCAAUGCCUUUAGGGUGGAGGGAGGUGGAGCAACUCAGCAUGGAUGGUGUGGGGGGAGGCAGGGCUGACAUACAGUUGUUUACAUCAUUGCUACUUCCUCUGUACCGAUUCUGGAGGGAGAGCAAUGGUUUACUGGCAAUGUUUCCAACUCAGAUGUUAAAAAAGGGAACUGCUAAAUGUUCUAUCAACCCCCCCCCCUCAAGCCCUCCCAUAUUUCCAUGUACACACAAACUAGCAGCAAGAAGCAGAAUGGGAGGACUUGGAGAGCUGACUUCCCUAUCCCAGGAGCAGAUGGCCAGAGCUUCCAGUGUCCAGCUGAUGAGCAGAAAGUGCUGACCCCACCGAGGACUCCUCCAGGAUGAAGGGGAUGUAGAUGGACAAGGAGAAGGCUGCAGACAGGCUCACAAGUGAUUGCCUGGUAAAGACUCACUUUCUGCCUACGGGGCAGACAGGACUGGCCACCACCUUUCCCCUCAUCAAGGCAUCCCAGGGCGUCCAUUACCUGGAACAGACUGGAUGACAAGGUAAUCCUUCCCUAACACUGCUGUACAGGGGAAAGCAGAUCCCUUUGACACUGCUCCAGGUAUGAUGAGUAUCCUGCCAGUCCUCCUCACCGUAAGUAUGCUUGGUUCAGUCUCUGGUGAUGAAGGUGUAAAUAAACCCGGUGCCUGCUCCUCUGCUGCACUGUGCUUAGGUGGCUGUUGCUGCCUCCUGCUGCUCUAGCUCAUCAUCUUCAUAGUCUGAGAUGUAGGAUUCCAUGCUCUGCUUGGCCAGCAGCUCUCUUCGGGCUUGGAGUCGCUCGCAGCGAGGGCAGCGCGUGGACUUGAAGCAGGACUUGUGGUAGCAGGCUUUGCAUUCUGGGGGAAGAAAAGGAGAGCAGCUGAAGGCUGGCACAGGCUGCCUGGCUCUCCACACCUGCAGAGAAAUGCUCCAGAUUUGUCCAGGAGGACAAACACCAGAAGCAGGCGUUUGGCACUGCUGAAAGCAGCAAGAACUCAUGCUGUAAAGUACCUAACUUGAAACUGCUGUAGUCUUAACUUUGACCCUGCAGCACACGCUUCACUACAGGGCAGGGCUCCUGCCCUGGAUGAGCAAAUACCAUUGUAAUAUUAUUUUAAACACUGUUGUAAACAACAACUGAUCUGCUGCUGUUAUCAUGUGGUGCAGACAUAGGCUGUUCAUAGAAGCACUGUGAUCUGGCUGCCUGUGUUUGGCUCCACGCUUCUUACUGGCACAAAGCCACUCAAAAAUGAAGAAGCAGACAUUGCUGACCCCCUUCCUGUUUUUCCCCAUACCUCACCUUCACAUGUCUUGCACUUGUUGAGCUCAAAGGGGAAGAUGAUGUCCCCUUCAUUCUGGCAGAACUCGCAGAUGAAGCCUUUGGCUUGGCACAGCUAGGAGAAAAGGCCAGGAAGAAAGUAAGCUCGACGCUCCUCAUCUCCCUGGAGCUGGAUAGUAGGACACGGUGUCUUGCUCUACCUAUGUGGGACAGUCCAUCCCCAGCAUGAAGUAUAGCAAGGCAGAAUCAACGUGUUAAGGAUAAAGUCAAAAUAGGGUAAGAAAUAUCCUGCAUGUGCUGGGUAGCAGUUCUGUGGAACAGGUGAGAGCAGCAAGCUUGUAAUCAGUUAAUUCUGUGAUUGCUCUGCAUGUCAAAGGCCUUCCCACUGGCUAUUUACACAGAAAGCCUACCCAAAGGGUGUUUCAGAGCUGUGCAGUAGGUGGCUAUAGAGGCCUUACCAUGCAUUUCUCAACGUGCAGGCUGCCUGCCUUCAGGAGCUCUGUCAAGCGAGGCACCAGGUCCCCCCUCUUGGUGGCACUGAGGUCACUUAGAGAGUAGAGAUGCAAAUCCUCUGUCAAGUGGCCAGGCACCGCAUCGAAGGAGUCCAGGAGACUGCAAGGACAGCAAAACUGGAGCUCAGAGCAGAAGAACUCUACUGAGUCAGAUACAGGACAGCAAACAGCUUAACAUCGCACCCCAGGACUCACUCUUUAGCUAGCCGGCAGGUCUUAAACAUGUUCUUCAUGUGGAAGAGCUGGAUUCGCAGCAGCUGGAGAGGAAGGAGGGACACAAGGGAUCAGUAAACAGAUCACAGACCUUAACCAAACACGUCUGCCCCAUUUCCUGCAUUGGUGAAAAGGCUGCUGUUCCCCUGGUACAGGAGUGUUUACACCACGCUGGAUACAGCGAGCACAACCAGUCACCACACACUCCAGGAAAUAAACCAAGGCCCAGCUGGACACCAAGCAGAAAUACCUUCCCAUUCUGUGCUACUGCACAGGAAACAAGAUACGAACGGAAACCCACAGCGCUGAGGUUUUAAGCUUCAGAAACUGAAAUAUCCGCUUCUCCUCAGCUUCUCCAGCGCACGAUUUACAACUGGCAGCCACCCUCCCCCUGCAAGCCCCAUCCAGGAAGGUGAGGGAAGGGGCUUACCCACACUUGGUUGAGAGACUUCACCUUCCGGUACAGGGCAGGAUUGAUAUCUUGCACGUUGAAGAGCGGGUCGCUCCAGAUCUUGCUCAGCAGGUCUUUGGAGAAGUUGCUCACAUAGUACUUGCUGAAGUCCCACUUGCGCAGGAUGCGGCUGGGGAUGACUGUCUGGGCGUUCUCGUGGCAGCACUGGCAGAAAUACUUCCCCAGGUACUCACAGUACCGCAGUCGCUUGAUGUAAUCUAGCCAAGCCCAGGGGAAGGGGGAAGUCAGGUGAGGUGCAGGCUCUGCCCAUCCGUGUAUCAACAUUUCCAGCGAGGAAGGCGUUCUGCCUUGCCAGCUCCUCCUCCAGCAACAGACUGCUCAACACUGGAGCUUGAAAGCACGCUGCAGGCUGCAAAAUUCUUUGAGGACCACAACCCACCCAUCAAUCCAUGCUGUUAGAGGAGUGCACAAAAGCUGUGACCCAAAUUUGUGGAUACAGACACUGCAGACCCACCAGGCUACCAAAGGAUAGGAAGCUAUUGCUCAGCACUCACCAGGAUCGGUCCGGAUGCCACAGCCUGCACACCGGUAAUUCUGCUUGGCCACAGCUACCUUCCUCCUGUCCAGAGACAAAAGAUGACAUAAGUGAAUCCAGGCCUGAUGACACCCAGCACCUGACAGCAGGCGCUGACACAACUCUGGACAUGCACAUCCACAUUCCUUGCAAUGAAAGCGUGGAUGACAGCCCUUCAGGGCAUGGGCAAGCUGAAGAGCCUGGCAGAGUUGGGCACCGUGCAAGAUGAAGAUCCUGGUACUGAAUGUGAUGCCUUCAAGGAGUCUGAUCGUAUGUCACCCAGAUCCCCAGAACAACUGCAUAUCAAAGAGCAACCUGCACUUCAAGGAGACCAAACAGCAGCCUCUGUGAAGAACCCAGUGGGGGAGGGCUGAGCACAAGACAGGUAAACCCACCACGAUGCCAAGUUUGUUCUCUGCAGACAUUAGUAGGAAAAGGCCAAGGCACUGCUGCCCAGGAAGAUGUGGUAGCAACACCCUAUGAGAACAUGCUGCAGGGGGCAAGGAAGAAGCCACACAGCUGGGCUGAGUGCCUUCCAGGGAACUGUCAGCACCACUAGGGGAUACCUUCUGUUCUUUGUGAGGUUUUUCACUCCUUUCUGGUUCCUCCACAAGACCCAGACCCCACAGCCCCAUGACAGCUCAUUUCCAACACUGGUGCCUCAACAAAGGAACCAUUUGGCAUGUUGACAGUCGAGCAGUUAGUGCACACUGUGGCCCAUGCAUGUUCCCUCCAGGCACACUCCCAGCAUCAUCCACUCCCAGCGUACCAGCAGGAGUUUUUUGGAAAGCUGCCUUUUCUUAUACCAGCCAGGAUGCCUAAACAGCUUUUUUAGAGACCAUCUCAGGCCCUGAAAACCAACAGCAAACAAGCAAUCAAGAUGCCUAGCAAGAGCAGUGGGUGAGCAGCCAUGCAGGCCUUGCUUAUGCCCCAGCUCUAGGGCAUUUUGCCCCAGUUGUGCCCAAGCACAACUUUUGCUUGGGAGCCACUGCUGUUCCCAAACUGCUGCCUCUGUCCUCUCAGCCCUCUCGGCUGUUAGCCAAGGCACUGCACAGCAAGCGGCAGGGCCUGGACAAAACCCAUCCUUCUCUCCUCCAGUUUCAUCAGAACUAGCAAAGGCCCUGGGCAGUGGGCAUGGAGCCAGGGAAUGUGUGAAAAGGAUCAAAUAAUCGGUGAGCUGGGAUUUCCAAAGAGCAGUGAGAGCUCUGCACUGUAUGCUUUUCCAAUCACCGUGCCUCAGUACUGCCCUGCUCCUGUGCUGGCACCUCCAGGCAGUGCCCAUGUACCUUGGUAGUGCCACCCCAGUCACUGUCACCCUCCUGUACACAGACAUACUCACACCCCUACCUUCUGCGGGGCGUCAUGUUCAGGGACCAGCCAUUCCAAUUCGGAGGCAGCUGGCAGCUGCAUGCCCUCAAACUGCUUCAGCAAACCCAUGGCCACAGCUUCUGCAGAGUUUGAAUUGCCGAAUGAAUGGGAUCUAGCCAACAAAGGAAGCAGUUAGUACUAGGGGUCUCAAAGCUGUGCUGCUUCACAUUCCCCCAUUCUCUGAUGCUAAUUCUCAGCUCAAGCAGGGACACAGCUUUACACCUGUCCCAGAUGAGAGAGAAAGGCAAGGGAAGCUCAGAGCCAGCAGAAACCAGAAGCCAGGCAGGCCAUAUACUCCAAGUCAUGCCAGCUCCUCUUCCCAGCCUCCUACCACUAGAAAUUGUGGGGAUCUUCCCAGACACAGCCACAUCAUAUCUCAUGUCCACAUAGCAUGUGAAUGAUCUUUAUCAUCCCAGGUGCUGCUUUCCAAAUUCAAAAAUAGGACCCAGCUGUGCCUCACUGGUAAGAAAAUGUAGGGAUGGAGGGAGGGAUGUGCAGUCCAGUGCAAAUCAGCAGCUGAAGCACGUGGAAGUAGAGCUGGGCAGGAAAGGGAACUGGGUACCAAGAUGUCUCAGUGCAAGUUGAAUACGUACAUGGAGUCUGAGGAGAGAAAGGGCUUCCUGCUGGAGUCAGGGUUCCUCUUGAUGUCUGCAUCUGAAUCAGAAACAAACAUGAUGGAGCAAACUGGGCAGGGCUGAAGAAUACAUUCACUCCAAACGGAAGCUUCAUUUUAAAACUCGUCAAGCUGUUUAAAAGCACAGAAACUACAACAUCAGCUUCUACCAGUGAUACAGAGCAGCAAGGAGAGGUGCAGUCAAAUUAAUCACCUAUUGGGAGUUACAAGGUAAGGCACAGUGGGAUGCUGCAAAAACACAGCCAGGAUUUGGUGUGGAAGGUGGUGCAGGUCACACACCAAGUCCUAGUGUUUACACAGCCUGUAACAGUGCACACAGCUGCAGCUAGGAGGGCACAACAGCAAGGUUAGCUGGAAAGUUUAGUAGCUCUUUAUACAGUACAGGUGCUGCAGGGCAUUAGCAAUGGGACGCAAAACCCUCCUCCCUAUUGAAUCAUACAACUCAAGAUAAGUGGCUGUGCCACAGCUUGUCAGCUGUUGCACCACAGCACUGGCAGCCUGAGUUCUGCGCUCAAGAGACGAGUCAGCAUCCAUGUAGCUGCAGGGGUCAGUCCUAUGCAGAGGCACAGAGCCAUGAGGCUCUCUCUGGGAAGCAGAGAUCCAAGAUCUCUGGAAUAGACCUGGGUUUUACCACAUCCCUCCUCAGGGCCAGGAUGUGGGCACCACAGCAGUAUCCCAGUGGUACCUCCCCCCCAUGUGUGGCUCUGGAGUCACUCUGCUCUGCUACCUACGCAGGUCAGUGACACAGACCACUCAGAUUCUGUCCAGGCACCAGCUCAUGCUUGCUCUGCAGCAGAAAGCUAAUGCCCCGAGCCGUCAGCUUUGCUAGGAAGAACGGGGUUGCUCCAGCAGAACAGGGAGCAAGAAGUUCUGAAGAAGUGCUCUCCUGAAGCAAAUGACUCUUCAGCUGCUCCUGGCUUCAGAAAGGGAAGGGUAUGCAAAGAGCCCAGGUUGAGCCUCGAUAGAUCUUCACUAAGUUUACAAACUCAUGCUAGCAGAGGUCAAUGUGGACAUGUAACACUGUGUUUGACAUCCAUUGCUAGUAACUGACACACGAAAGCAUCCUGAUGCUAAGGAAUCCACCCACCUACAUCAUGCAAACAGACUUCUUGUUGCAGAAGAGAGGGAACUCAGCCAAAAUGAGCCUCCUAAUCACAUAGAUACACUGCAGAUAUAUCUACCAUGCUCUGAGGCCUUUGGUUCUGUGCAAGAAGGCUUUGCAUGACCCUAGAGUACGACAAACUCAAGCAAACAGUGGAGCACACACAGUAUAGGACAGGCCAAGCACUAUGAGGAGAUCUUGGGCAGAGCACUGCUAUCAUCUCAGGGAGGGCAGAGGGAUCCAAACCUGGCCCUAGGCUCCCCUGGGUGCUGGGAUCCUAUCAUCACUCCCUCCCCACUCUUAAUUGCAGACACUCCUCAAAAGUCUCCACUUAGCUGCCCCAAAUGUCUCCGCUGCUAACGCUUUCACCAUGUGGGACAAUCCCCAGGGGGUUGGUGAACAGCACACAAAGGCAGGGAAGUCACCUAGCCCUGAGCUGCCAGCUUUGGGCCAGGAUGAGCCAACUCUGCAUUGAAUUCAUAGGAUACAGCAGGAUUGACGGGAAGCUCUGAGCACUAGCAUCUCCAGCAGGAGCAGCACACUGAUGUCAAAUGCUGACAGAAGAGAUCAGCAGCUAAGCAAUACCAGGCUGCACAUGAUCACAGCAUCCAGGGCCUCCAGUGGGUAAGAAACACCUCUUUCCAGCUGUUCUCACUACUUUUCCCUCAAAGACCUCUUUCUAGAAGGAUUCCUCCCCAAGUCAGGUCUGGUCAGGAAGGGAAGGGCUGGCCACAGUUUGAAUCAGAGUCAUUGCACGCCAGCUCUGUGGAAUCAAGCAGGAUGACUCUUCCCCAAGGCACCAACAGCUUCAGAGUGCUUCAGGCCUGUGCUCGCUCUGCCUUGUGGCCAAAAGCUGGCAGUAGAGUCAUUCAAAGAGCAAGAUUCCUUUCUUUGUGGUUCCCUCCUUGUCUUGUGUGUGAUCAGAGAGGCAAUUGUUUUCAGCAGGGCAGCUCCAUUCAGAGCCAUCGUGUUAGAGGGCAGCACCUCUGAGAUGGGCCUCUGGUGCUGCAGCAGAGGACUGCUGUCACAGAGCCCAGCAGCUACAGAAUUACAGCGCUAUGCUUUUGCCUUCCUGAGUCCCACCCCAGGCUAGACAGGUUUUCCAAGCAGCAGGCAUGUUUUGUGUAUUCAAAAUGCUGCAUGGAAAAAUCCCCUGAGGGGUGGUGACCAGGCAGAGCUCCUCUGCUUCCUCUUUGCUCCCAGCAAAGCACCGUCCUUCCACAGCUCUUCUUGCUGACACUUGGAUGACACUGUGUCACUGUUCCCAAAUCAGAAAGCAUGAGGAGCUGGUUUACGUGCACUGAGCUGUGAGGAAGGACAGUUGAAAUACCCACACCGGAGACUUAGGUCAGGGCCUGACAGUAAAUUUCAGUGAUUUGUUGCCUGAUCUGAAGCUGAUCUACUGAUGAACUCGAUACCUGAUGACCCUGUACAGAUUGAGGCCUCUGCACUCCCUGCAACACCCUGAGGGGGCACGCUGAGAACUGUGCACGUGCAAGGCACACACACGCACACACCUUGCACACACACGCACGCGUGCCAAGGGAGCACUGCAGGUACUACCUGAGAACAAGGAAGCCAUUGACACUGAGAGGCCGUCCUUGGACAUUUGAAUCAGGUUAGAUCCAUCGUUACCAUCUGUAUAAUAUGGUGAUGACAAAACAGUUCACUUCAGUGCUUUGGCCAGACCAAAGGGAAAGGGCAUAACACAAAAGCAGCACUCGCAUGGGAGAAGCCAGAACUAAAUUCACACACACCUAAAGGGACUUCAAAACCAAGUCCAAAAUCUAGCUCUCAGGAACUGAAAUGGGGGCUUUGCUGUCAAGUCACAGACAAGAAGAUUGAGAACUUUAUAAACUGAGACCAGAUUGCUCCAUCUUCUCUCAUCUCACCUCUAAAGUCUAAAGCGUGAACGAGGUACUGCUGAGAUAUGAGCCAUCCAUCCCAGAGGACAAACGAGGCUUUGAAGGAAAGGGAUGACCAGGGACCUAAGGCAGGUCUCCUGCAUGCAACAGGCUCAGCCGCACUAGCAGCCAGGAGCAGAGACCAGGAGCAGUACAGGUCAGGGGCUGACCAGCACCCGCUGCUCCCACCCAACACACAAGUCUGCUCCUACUGCUUGGGGAGGAAGAAAGCAGGGUGGCAGCCCUCCCAUCUCUCCCUGGCUGUGACAGCUGCUCUGUGACCUGGCAAGUGAAAUGGAAACCAUGUGCCAGUUCUGAAUGCUAAAGAAUUAUAGAGGAUUUUGAAGGAAAGUCAUGCCACCACAUGAGAGAAACUGGUUGAUCUGUUCAUGCUCAGCAUUCAGCCAUUUGUUUGGGAAAAGCCAUCCUGAAGGCUGAAGGGACAUGCUCUCAUUUAGUGUGACUGAGCUCAAUGCAACCAGGCCCAGGAGAAGUCUCUCUCUGUGCAAGAAGCUAAUGCAGCCAUUGCCUCUUACCUCGGAUCUCGUACUCCUCCACAUCCUCCGCAGAGCCCGAAUCAGACAGGCGCGUGGAGCCAUGGGAGCUGAACUGGGACUCACUGUCUGUCGCCACAAGGCCUGGGAGAUAAAGGGAAGGCAACACAGCCAGGCCAUCAGUGCGAGCAGCUGAACGGGGCACGGACAGCAAAGGGGUAAAGUGAUAGCCAGCUGUGACCAGGGAAGGGUGGAUGGCAAGGAUGGAAAACAGGUUCUGUGGCUUCUAAAUGAAACCACAUUCCUUAACUCAGUGUCACCAGGGCACGAGUGUUACGCAUAUAUGGUAUCGGCCCCGCUACACUGUAAUAUGGCAGGGUUUCACAGAUCUCUGCACCACCCUGUUAGAAAUGAACAAAAACAUCACCCACUGUCUGAGCCCAUCUCCUGGCAGCUAGAGAACAUGUGCUUGGUGCGGAUCUGCUGGCGCCUAAUGCGAAUCUUUUGUUUGAGCUCCUGGAUCUCCUUGUCGCUGUCUUCCUCUUCCUCCUCCAGCUGCCGGCUCAUCAUGUUGCAUUUCAUCAGCUCGAUAGCAGCAAUCAGUGACUCUGAGAUGCUAAAGUGAGCAUUCUCCUGCAAGGCAAAAGCAAAAGUAUUUGAGGCUGUAGCACAGGGAAAAUUGGGAAGCCUUGGUAAAAUAUGGUUUAAUAUUUUCAUCCAGAAAGGUGGCAGAAAGACCUUAUACCUUUCUGGCCCUAUGAAAUCUCACUCUUCUAUGAGAACCUAGAAAUCAAAGCCUUUUGAGGCAACAGAAGUGUUGCAAAACAUAGGGCAAGUCUUACAAAGUGGAUGUGCAACAUCUCCAUGCUGGGGAGUCAACACAUGCCCGUAAGGAGCCACAACAGGCAGCCAAGCUGCUGCAUGUAACACUAGAUGGGCAAAUCUUUGAAGCCAGCCAUAAAUGAGCAACUCAACUUGAAAGUUCUAUGCCCAGCUCUAUAGCAGGAAAUAGCAUGUGAUUAUCUCCCCCACAGAGGAAGGUAGCACUGAAUCUGCAGUAAAAUUUCUCCAGAGAGAAAUCUGCCUCCCUCACCUUUUCCAGAUCUGCACAGCUGCCAAAGUCCUGCUCAGAGAGGUAACUGAUGAGGGACUGCCCUUCUGAGGGUCUUCUGAACAUUCCUUCCCCCGAGCUCAGGUACUGGCCAGAGUCUGGAAAAACAAGACAGCAACAUUAUGAAGGAAGGACCAGGAAAUCCACUGCUCCAAGCACUGGGUAACAGCCCAUGCUCUGUGUUAGUUCACACAGCCAACAGCUGUUUAUCCCACUCUACAGACAGAACUAGAUCCAGCUUCAUCCACUGUAAUGGAGAACAGCAACCAACACAGGGCCAUUACAAUGACAGCAGGCAUCCUGAAACCAUCCAGCCCUCCAGAACAUCCCACCCUAAGCAGGAAGGAGCAGGAGAUCACUUGACUGUUCUGGCUGCUAUCAGAUGUUCUCCUGCUUCUCUGUGGCUCUUGGACAGGAGGCAGCAGUAAUUUUGGAACAAUGACUAGGGCCAGCUCUGCCCUGGAGCACAAGGAGACCUUGACCUCAGGCAGCCCUAGGGCACCACCACAGCACAUCAUUAAUAAUCAUCAUCCCCACACAUCCUGGGCAAAGCUGCUAAGACAGCAACCACGAAAGUACUCCUGGCAGGCCCUCAUAACAGCCUUCAGGUAGCCAGUGUUUGUUAUUCGGGAUAAAAAGAAAGAGAAGGCAUAUGCCAAAUAACAAAACAAUAUGAAUAACAGACAUGCUCUAGCAUACUGUAGGUAGCAGAGUGGAUACACACCCAUGCCAAAAGGAAAAACUUUUAAUGAGCUGCUCAGCAUUGAUGCUGCUGGACCCACAGAGGCUCCUGCAGAGCCCACAUGUGAGCACUGCAGCGAGUCUUCAUUCACCCAGAAGGCCAGACAGACCUUCAGGGUGCAAUCUGCAAGCUAACAAGCCUUUCCAGUUCCCAACCAGCUCACUACAAGCCAUCUCCUGCAUGCCUGCAUCCCACAAGCAGGUGCCAGAAGCUGAGGCUGCUACAGUGCAUGCCCAGGAGCAAACAUCCCCGCUGAUGCUCACUGUACUUACCAUACUCCAUGUAGAGGGAGCUGGGCGUGCUCAGUUCGCUGCUCUGGGUGGAACCAGAGACCAUCCCUCUUCCUCCACCUGUAUCUGAAUGGGAUUCUGCAAAGGAACAAGACAACACCAGGCACAUGUCAGCAAUCCAGGAGUGCCCAGCCCAGAGCAUGGUGUGAAAUGAAAGGAGAUCAUCUUCAUAUGGGCGGGCACAAAUGGAUGGGAAUCAACACGGGAAAUCCUCCACUUGUCUCACCUGCUCUGUGCCAUGCCUGAAGUCAAGCCCAAGUGGGAAGACAAACUAGAGGGGCAUUUCAGGCAGCAGGGGAUGGGUGAAAGGGAAAGAAAAAAAGGCCAUGACAAUUACGGAUCAGUCAAGUCCUGAGCCUUCCUCUCUUUAUGCCGUGCAAAUCUGGAAAAUGCAAUAGUUCCUGCAAGCACCUCUGACAGCCUCAUCUUCCUCCUGGAGCAGUUCCAAGGAAGAAUCACCCCAUAAGGCUGGGACACGAGACAUGGGGACAUCUAAGCAGCCAAGGGAUCUGUGAGGCUCGUGGCCUGGACAAGAGUGGAAGGAGGCAUCUGAAGGAUACACUCUUGCUCAGCUAGGAAAACCCAGGUUUCCUGCAUACCAGAGCCAGGAUCACAGUGAUCAAGGCCACCUCCCCACACAUGCUGCAGGGCUGCACACUGCCAGGCAGAGCUGGUGGGGACCGCCAGGAGCUGGCCUCAUUGGGGACAAACAACUGCCAGAGUUUUGCAGACAGCAAGGCUCCAGAGAGCAGCUGACUUGGCUGGGAAGGCCCAAAAACAGCCUACUGCUGGAAAGCAGCACCCUGCAGCUCCUGCUGAAGCCGGAGCCAGAGCAAGGAACAGGACUAGGCACAUCUGUCCCUGCUUUUGCCAAGUCUAGGAGGAGCCUUCCCAGCCAUGGACUGCUCAGCACCCAGGGCCAUCAGCAUCAAACUGCCCCUUGCUGCAGAUCUGCCCCAUGAAAAAUAUCACAUUGAAGCCCACGCCUUCAGGGCUACCAGCCCUUGGCCACCAGGGGCAACCUCUUCUGGCUCCCAGAGUAAUGGGGGAGAGGAGACGGUGGGGGAAGAAGCUCAGGGACUUGCUGGUCAGCACUUCCUAACGCCAUGCAGAAGAGCUGGGUGCCAGCCUUGGUCUGGACCACUGCUGCCAAAAACCAGGCUGGGAUCUUCAGUCAGGCCACAUGCAUAAACCUGAGGCACUUCAAAGCACCUGGGGCUCCUGGGAGAAAAAAAAUUUUGUUUGCUUUCUAAAUGGAUAUUAAUGAGUUGAUGGAAAUUCUGAACUGAAUGCAGUGAUCACUAAUGAGGCUGUUUUGCUGGCUCCCAAACCUGCCACUGGAUCUUCUAUUAUAAUGGUGAUAUCCCUGAGGCCUCCUGGACAGACAGAGGAGGAAGAGGGCAGCAUUAAGGGAAAGAAAACAGAGACAGACUGGUUACUACGCAGCAAGAACUUUUGUUUCUCCCAUGUAGGCAGCACCAGCAGGACUGACUCCCACAAAAUGGUUGUCCCUUCACUCCCAAAUCCUCCCACCAUGCAUUCACACACUCAAGAGCACAGAAGAGCCCAGCAGGUUACCAGCACCAUGACAAGAGGCUCCAAAGUCUGCCAUAGCUCUAUCCCCCAAGUGGACAGGACCAGAGGGAAAGGAGAACAGCUAAUUCUGCAGCAUCUCUGCUAUUUGCUAAGCUUCCAGUGAAGGCCACAGCAGAGCUGCUAACACCAAAACUAGACUGGCCCACAGCAUUCUGAUGUCAGCCCAUCACUCCAGUGUGGAGCAGAAAGAUGGAGGGUAACAAUCAAACCUCCAAAUGCUUGCCCACUGCUCCCGUUGCUCAUCUGACACGCGGAGUUGAAGGGACAGCCAAUAUCCCAAUAGUGGUGACUCCCACCUGGCCACGGUCCCACCACUGUGCUCACACCCCACAACCACCCCACGCACCAAGCAAAGUAACCCCAUUACCGUGCAAUUUCCCCGAAGCCACGUUGGUGUCAGAGUGCGAGCGCAGGUGGCUCCUCUUGAGGACGCCCUGCGACACCGAUGACUGUCCCUCUGAAAAGCUGGACCGGCGCAACAGGCCCAGGCCCCUGCUGCCACAUCCGUUUGCCCCCCGAUCCCCUGAGUCCAGCUUCUGGGAGCUGCUAGAGGAGAACAUGUUGGAGCUGCUGCUCUUACUGCUGCUGGUGCUGCUGGUGCUGCAGGCCCGGCCACGGCGCCCCAAGUUCCCGAUGGCCAGGUACUCCGGCCCAUCGUUAGCAUCGCUUUGUGAUUCAUCCUGACUCCCUGUCCAAGUGUCCUCACUCUGGCUGGUGGUGCUGGAACUCAUCUCGUUGGCUGGAGAGAAGGGGUCUUUGGGUGAGGGGAUGUGGGAUGGAGGGACAGCGCUGGGCUGCUCCAGAGGAGACCUGCCCUCGCUGAAGAAGGAGGACUGCGAGGCCAGGCAGUGUUCCUGGGGUUGGCUGGAGCUUGAGCUGAUGGAGGAGCUUGCUGGUCUCCUGUCUGGACAGAGAGAAGAAGAGAAUGUCACAUAUCCUCUGUGCGACCCCCUAAGCCAGCAAGGAGCCCAGCCUGAGCUUCUAGCACCUCUGGUUACCUGAGAGCCCAGAGGAGGCCGGGUGAGGCAGGCUAGAGAAGGACCCACAGUGGUGCUGCUGCAUGCAGCCUGGAGACAGGGUAUAGAAAGACCCAGGGAGCGCAGUCAGGCUCUGACUCUUGGUCACCGAAGACAGACCUUCACCCUUCCUGGUAAGCUGAAGAGAGGAAGCAUCAAUAAAUCAGCAUCUCAAAGGAGCAGCUUAAGAGACAGAAAAAACUGGACCUGCAGGGCCUGCACAAGCACCUGGUUACCAGCCAGCACAGCCCUGGGGCUGCAGGAUGGGAGAAACACGCUGCAGCAAAGAAGGGAAGCAGCUCUUUAUGCACAGCGAAGCAGCAAGCUCCAUCUGGAAAUUACCAGGCUCUCAGCGAGAUGAUCUAGGCAGCCCAGUGCCCCAGGCAGGCGGCUCUGUUGUCCUACAGCAUCGUGGUCACACAUCUCUCCUGUCCCAGCAGAGGGACCUGAGGAGCACACGGAGGGCAGUGAUGUGCCGGCCAGCUGAAAGAACACAGACCCUAUUUAAUGAAGCAUCAUUAAUUGCUCUCCUCUGGGGAGCUCUUUGCAAAGAAAGCAGCUGCUGUUCUCCUAUGAGGAGAGGGCAGCUGGCACUGGGAGGCACUGGGAUGGUGGCGUCACCAGCAGGAGGGGGAAUCUGGCUGUCCUGGGUGCUGCCCAGCCCUCUGAGUGUGGCUGACCCUGAAGCCUGGGUCUUUUGGAGAUGGCUUUAGAGGUGUCUCUUAAAAGGAUAUGGCUCCUGAGCCUCAUAUUCAGAUUCUUGAUGACAGCCAGAACCGAGGUGCCUCACUACAGACAUUUCCUCCCAUCCCUCCAACCCCUUCCUUUUGCUAUUUCCCAAGUCCAGGCCCUUGUCCAAGGGUUCUGUGUGCUGUGAAUGCAAUAUUGUAUGAGCAGCCACAGCCGUACAGCAUUUAGGGAGGGCCAGAUGCAGAAGCCAGGGGUCUCAGCUCACCAUGGAUGUGUCGAUCUGAGCCAGCAGCCUGGGGUUGUUCUGCUCGACAGCCUCCAGGCACUGCAGCAUGGCUGUGACAUGGGCGUCACUGAGCAGGAAGGCUGUGUCUGCAGAGAGAGAAUUACUGUCAGGGGGCUUUCUCCCCACCGCCACCAGCAUGAGGGUAGCAGGAGGUAUAUGAUGCUCUUCCUGCAGCAGUCCGCAAGGAAAAAAUUGUGAGAAAAGCCACCAAAGUGCUGGAUAUAAAACUUGGCAAUUUUAGGAAAAACCUACAUGAAGAGGAGGAGAUGAGAGCUUUCCUCACCCAGCUAAAACCUGAGCCAAAAGAUUUGCAUUCCAAAUUAUUGUAUCUGGUUCAAGGUUUUGUCUUAAUUUGGGGGGUAUCGAAAAACUUCUCUCUUCAGUACUCUAAAAUACAAGAUUAAAGAAAGAUCCUGUCCCAGAUCAGUUUAGAUAUCUUUGUCCUUGCUAUUUAUCUUUACUUUCUGACAAAUUCUCAAGUUUUCACAAAAGUUCCUAAUGUGCACGAAUGGACUACAAUUUUCACCUACAAAGGAGAAGCACAGCUGCAUUUCCACACAUCAGCAGAGGUCAGACCUUCAUCUUUUUGUUUAGAAAUAUUCCGGGGGAAGGGAAAAAAAAAACAGCACUGUUUGAAACAGAUUCAAAAUUGACUUUCUUUGCACAUUUUAUUUCUUUGUAAUGGGAAAUGCAUUUCUCCAAGUUUGCAGACUGGGACAUGGACUUGAAACCAGACUGCUUGACUACCUGCAGCAGAAACCUUUGAGCCCAUGCAAAGAAGCUGCCACAGCUCGAUCUCCUAAGAGAAAGAAAAUGAGAAUAUCCAACGCAUUCAGACUUGCUCAAGCUCCUGUUAGGGCAGCAAGGAGGACACAGACAAGCAGGACGAAGCAUGUUGCAGACAAGCUCACUGCAGAAAACUAAAGCUCAGCUCUUCUGACCUGCAUCCAUGCAUAUACAGUAUGACACAGCACGCUUUGUCUGACAGCACAGAUUGCACAGAUGCAAACUUCCUUUUCUGCUGCUCCCCUCAAGCAUGAGUUGGAAAAUCUGCUUUCAUACAAGGAUGAAAAAGACUCAUUUCUACUUGCCUGUGUAGAACUUCCUUAUGUACUGCCUGUUCCCCAGGAGAGGUCUGAGCUGUGCUGAGAGGCAGUGGAACUGCAGGCUGUGCUGCAGCCACAGCUGUGCAAUAGCUUGGUCACUGUGGCUGUCCAGGCUGGGCUGGCUGUUCUCAUGCAGGCUGAUGAACUGGAAAUGAACCAUGAAGGCACAAGUUAGGGCAAGAAGAAGUAAGCAGAGGAGCAGGGGUCGUUCCUCCUCACAGCUCUGCAGCACCAGGCACUGUUGGUGAGAAUGCAGUCACAUCCAAGCAGCCACCAAGGCAGCACAGGGAGACAAAAGCACCGGAGAGGAACAACACUUCAAAGGUCAGCCAGCAUUGGUGACCAAAGUCCUACCCACAGCCACCAGCAAUAUGAAUUUCAAUGGCAUGUUCUCCUACCCCUGACCUGGAGGGACCCCACACUCCCAAAUCUAAUUGCUUUCCUGCAGUGACAGUCAUGUUCUUGCUGACACAUUAACUGAUGUGAACAUUCUUGCUGCUCUACAGCAGACUGCAAUGGAAAGCAUGAAAUCUGCUCACAUGUGACAAAGAGCAGCGUGGUGCCUUCAGGUCUCAGAGCACUGAGGGCUGAAAGCAUCCCUGUGCAUAAGCAAACAGCAAAAGCUAGGCACAGAAGAGCCAAUGAAUGGUCAAGGCCAAUAUACAACCCAGAAAUGGAACAGAUGAAACCUCUGGAGAUUUGUACAACUAUAAAUCCCUACUGUGUGCACAGAAGCAUUGCUUGUGCCAACUCCCUUGGUGAUGCCUGCUGUACCCAACCAAGGAGGCCAUCCUGUGGGAAAUUAGCAGCUGACUGUCUAACCCUAAACCACACCAAGUUCCUGGGAUGUGGCUCACACACAACCACAGUGCUAGUUCGUCCCUCACCAGUGGGUUCGCAGCCCAGCUGCCUUCCUCCCCCAGGCUGGGCACACCAAGGCACCCACCAGAACUCACCUUCUCCAGGUGAUGAGCAGAGCUGGGACUCAGCCGGCGGAUGUCCUUCACGAACUGCCAGUAAUCCUUCUGCCUGCAGUACACCUGCUGGGACAGGCUUGGUUAGGGCCCACCAUACACACGAGCCUCGAGUGACACAACAACGACAGUACAGCUGGCUCAGAGAGCAAGGAGACGGCGUUCAAUCCAGAACCUGUCAGGAGUUCCCACAUCACUGGUCCCUUCCUGCCAGAGAUGGACCUGGAGCAGCAGGCAGCACAAAACACAUCCCAGCAGAACCUACAGCAACCACUGUCCUCCCAUGCCAGUCACCAAGAAGGACACACCAGCAUGGCUGAGCACCACAGAUAAGAAAUGUGAUGCAGCACGUUCUUGGCAUUGCAUUCCUAUCAGCUCCUUACUGCUGUUUGCCUUGGCUCUGUUCAGACAGUAAGUUAUUUCUUCUUAGUUAUUCUUCCAGUCAAAGAGGAACUGCAGAAGAAUUGUUUUCCUCAACACUUUAUCAUGUUUAAGCACAGCCCCAACUGUUUCUCUUUCAAAAAAAGCUGAUUUUUUUCCUCCAUCUCUGCUUCCUCUUUCACAAGUGUCAGAGGAAGGGGUUUUGUUUUGUGGUUUACUUGUUUGGGGGGGUUACUUGUUUCUAUUUUUAAGACCAAAGCACCAACACAGACAUUUUGUCCCUUCAUAUUCAAUUGGGGUUUUCUGGAUAAAAUAAUAAAAUUCAUACAAUAGUUAAAAAAUCUCUUACAAUG
This is a long non-coding RNA of Centrocercus urophasianus (Greater sage-grouse), 17352 nucleotides long. RefSeq lists it as uncharacterized. The record is from RefSeq and is a predicted model, not a curated record. The transcript is spliced from 3 exons. Lineage: Eukaryota; Metazoa; Chordata; Aves; Galliformes; Phasianidae.